CCUACGGGAGGCAGCAGUGGGGAAUAUUGCACAAUGGGCGCAAGCCUGAUGCAGCGACGCCGCGUGAGGGAUGACGGCCUUCGGGUUGUAAACCUCUUUCAGUAGGGAAGAAGCGAAAGUGACGGUACCUGCAGAAGAAGCGCCGGCUAACUACGUGCCAGCAGCCGCGGUAAUACGUAGGGCGCAAGCGUUAUCCGGAAUUAUUGGGCGUAAAGAGCUCGUAGGCGGUUUGUCGCGUCUGCCGUGAAAGUCCGGGGCUCAACUCCGGAUCUGCGGUGGGUACGGGCAGACUAGAGUGAUGUAGGGGAGACUGGAAUUCCUGGUGUAGCGGUGAAAUGCGCAGAUAUCAGGAGGAACACCGAUGGCGAAGGCAGGUCUCUGGGCAUUAACUGACGCUGAGGAGCGAAAGCAUGGGGAGCGAACAGGAUUAGAUACCCUGGUAGUCCAUGCCGUAAACGUUGGGCACUAGGUGUGGGGGACAUUCCACGUUUUCCGCGCCGUAGCUAACGCAUUAAGUGCCCGCUGGGGAUACGGCCGCAAGGCUAAAACGUCAAAGGAUUGACGGCGNGAGAGNGCGAGACGACGACGAGGAGAGG
RNAcentral lists this ribosomal RNA (596 nucleotides) under uncultured bacterium. Its description in RNAcentral is "bacterial SSU rRNA". It matches the Rfam family "Bacterial small subunit ribosomal RNA", at positions 338 to 946 of the family's 1533-position model. The record is from RNAcentral.